GGGCCAUAAAGAAUCAGGUGGUUAAUAGCGCACCCCCUGAUAAGGGUGAGGGCCCUGUAUUAAAAUCCAAUAUGGUUC
This 78-nucleotide transfer RNA is filed under the name uncultured Synechococcus sp. RNAcentral describes it as "tRNA-Ile". The record is from RNAcentral. Lineage: Bacteria; Bacillati; Cyanobacteriota; Cyanophyceae; Synechococcales; Synechococcaceae.